This 666-nucleotide ribosomal RNA is filed under the name Triticum aestivum (bread wheat). Its description in RNAcentral is "partial small subunit ribosomal RNA". The record is from RNAcentral. Lineage: Eukaryota; Viridiplantae; Streptophyta; Magnoliopsida; Poales; Poaceae.
AUGGCCGGGGCGGCGCCCCACGUCAUGGUGCUGCCGUUCCCGGCGCAGGGCCACGUCACCCCGCUCAUGGAGCUCUCGCACCGCCUCGUCGACCACGGCCUCCAGGUCACCUUCGUCUGCACCGAGCCCAUCCACAAGCUCCUUCUCGACGCCCUGCCGCGGAACGGCGGCGGCGAGGCGCUGGACGGGAUCCGCCUGGUCUCCGUACCGGACGGCCUGGCCGACGGCGACAGCCGCAGGGACCUAGGCAAGGUCCUGGCCGGGGUCUUGGGGCGCGUGCCGGGCCACGUGGCGGAGCUCAUCAGGGAGACGGAGGCGUCCGGGGAGAGGAAGGUGCGGUGGCUCGUCGCCGACUCCACCAUGGCGUGCUGCUUCCAGGCCGCGAGGAAUCUCGGCGUCCGGGUCGCCUCCGUCUGCCCGGCGUCCGCGGCGUGCCUUGCCACGUCGCUCAGGAUUCCCCAGCUCGUACAGGAUGGCAUCUUCGACCACAAUGAAAUCCAGACGCGCGUCGCCGGCAACGGCAUGAUCGUCAGCUGGUGCCCCCAGCAGCAGGUUCUCGCGCAUCCGGCGGUGGCAUGCUUCGUGUCGCACUGCGGGUGGAACUCGACGAUGGAGGGGGCGAGGAACGGCGUGCCCAUCCUGUGCUGGCCCUACUUCUCCGACUAG